This 732-nucleotide ribosomal RNA is filed under the name Platygaster sp. ZJUH_2016026. RNAcentral's name for it is "12S ribosomal RNA". Lineage: Eukaryota; Metazoa; Arthropoda; Insecta; Hymenoptera; Platygastridae. The record is from RNAcentral.
AAAUUUAUAAUUUUAGGAUAAAAAUUUAUUAUAAAAUUUUUAUUUUAUAUAAAAUUUUUUUUAAUAAAAUAAUUUUAGUUAUUAAUAUUGAUAAUUUAAUUAGUGUUAAAUUUAGAAAUAUUUAAAAAUAUUAGUUAAAUAAGUGCCAGCAAUUGCGGUUAUACUUAUUAAUGUAAAUAUAAUUAUUAUUAUUUUUUUUUUGAGUUCAUUAUUUAUAACAAUUUAUUUUAAUGUAAGGUGAAAUUUUAUUUAUUUUUAUUUAAUAUAAAAAUUAUUAAUUAAUUAAUUUAAUAUGAAUAAAUUAGGAUUAGAUACCCUAUUAUUAAUUAAAUUUUUUUAAUAAAAAAUUAAAUAAUAGUUUAUUAAAUUUAAAUUAUAUGGUAGUAUAAAUUUUGUAUUAGAGGAAUUUGAUGAUUAAUUUGAUAAUAAACGAUAAGAUUUACUUAAUUUAUUAUUUAUGUAUAUUUGUUUAAGUUUUUAUAAUUAAAAUUUUUAUGAUUUUAUUAUAAAUGUAAUUCAAAUCAAUAUGUAAUUUAUAAUUAAGAUUAAAUUGAAUUACAUUAAAUUUAAAUUUUUAAUAUGGAUUAUAUUUAAUAGGUUUAUAUUAUUGGAUUUAAUUGUAAAUUAAAAUAAUUAUUUUAAUUGAAUAAAUAAUUUUUAAAUACAAAUUGCCCGUCAUUCUUUUUAAGAAAAGUCGUAACAUGGUAAAAUUAAUGGAAAUUAAUUUUAGAA